This 309-nucleotide ribosomal RNA is filed under the name uncultured eukaryote. RNAcentral's name for it is "partial 18S ribosomal RNA". It matches the Rfam family "Eukaryotic small subunit ribosomal RNA", at positions 1470 to 1796 of the family's 1831-position model. The record is from RNAcentral.
CCCUUAGAUGUUCUGGGCGGCCCGCGCACUACAUUGGCACUAGCAAAGAGAUCCUAGAUUGAAUUCUUUGGGGUAUUCUUCUAAAUGGUGUCGUGACUGGGAUAAAUCCUUGUAAUUAUUGGUUUUGAACGAGGAAUUCCUUGUAAUCGCGGUUUAUCAGCUCGCGUUGAAUGCGUCCCUGCCCUUUGUACACACCGCCCGUCGCUCCUACCGAUGGAUCGUCCGGUGAAGCUCACGGAGUGACUGUUCACGCAACGGUUUACGAAGUGAGAUGGACCUCACGAUUUAGAGGAAGGAGAAGUCGUAACA